GUUUCCGUGGUGUAGUGGUAAAAAAAAAAGUGUAGUGGUUAUCACGUGUGCUUCACACGCACAAGGUCCUCGGUUCGAUCCCGAGCGGAAACA
Molecule: non-coding RNA, 93 nt
Organism: Ornithodoros turicata
Lineage: Eukaryota; Metazoa; Arthropoda; Arachnida; Ixodida; Argasidae
Source: the annotation of a RefSeq genome assembly